GCCCCGAUAGCUCAGCAGGCAGAGCGAUGGUUUCGUAAACCAUAGGUCGAGGGUUCAAUCCCCUCUCGGGGCUCCA
Molecule: transfer RNA, 76 nt
Filed under: Candidatus Bathyarchaeota archaeon
Lineage: Archaea; Thermoproteati; Candidatus Bathyarchaeota
Description: tRNA-Thr
Rfam family: tRNA
About the family: Transfer RNA (tRNA) molecules are approximately 80 nucleotides in length. Their secondary structure includes four short double-helical elements and three loops (D, anti-codon, and T loops). Further hydrogen bonds mediate the characteristic L-shaped molecular structure. tRNAs have two regions of fundamental functional importance: the anti-codon, which is responsible for specific mRNA codon recognition, and the 3' end, to which the tRNAs corresponding amino acid is attached (by aminoacyl-tRNA synthetases). tRNAs cope with the degeneracy of the genetic code in two manners: having more than one tRNA (with a specific anti-codon) for a particular amino acid; and 'wobble' base-pairing, i.e. permitting non-standard base-pairing at the 3rd anti-codon position.
Source: RNAcentral